This 65-nucleotide transfer RNA is filed under the name Helorus sp. ZJUH_2016017. RNAcentral describes it as "tRNA-Pro". Lineage: Eukaryota; Metazoa; Arthropoda; Insecta; Hymenoptera; Heloridae. The record is from RNAcentral.
CAAAAUAUAGUUUAAAAAAUAUUAAUUUUGGAGAUUAAAGUUAUUAAGAAAUUUAUUUAUUUUGA